CUACCAUGGCUUUCACGGGUAACGGAGGAUUAGGGUUCGAUUCCGGAGAGGGAGCCUGAGAAACGGCUACCACAUCUAAGGAAGGCAGCAGGCGCGUAAAUUACCCAAUCCUGACUCAGGGAGGUAGUGACAAGAAAUAACGAGCAGUGACUUCUGUUACUGAAUUGCAAUGAGCCGAAUUUACACCACUUAGUGAGGAUCGAUUGGAGGGCCAGUCUGGUGCCAGCAGCCGCGGUAAUUCCAGCUCCAAUAGCGUAUAUUAAAGUUGUUGCAGUUAAAAAGCUCGUAGUUGGACUUCUGGCAGGGCGCCGCGUGCCACAGUAGUGCGCACAAGGGCCCGGCCAUCCUUCUGUAAACGUCGGGGCAGUUUAUUCGGCCGCGGCGGGAUCAGUUAAUUUACCUUGAGAAAAUUAGAGUGUUUCAGGCAGGCGUAGCCGGAAUACAUUAGCAUGGAAUAAUGGAAUAGGACUUAGUCUCUUUGUUGGUUCGAGGGACUGGAGUAAUGAUUAAUAGGGAUAGUUGGGGGCAUCAGUAUUUAUUAGCUAGAGGUGGAAUUCUCUAAUUUGAUAAAGACUAACUUAUGCGAAAGCAUUUGCCAAGGAUGUUUUCAUUAAUCAA
This 618-nucleotide ribosomal RNA is filed under the name Ciliophora sp. RNAcentral describes it as "SSU rRNA". It matches the Rfam family "Eukaryotic small subunit ribosomal RNA", at positions 341 to 980 of the family's 1831-position model. The record is from RNAcentral. Lineage: Eukaryota; Ciliophora.